RNAcentral lists this ribosomal RNA (460 nucleotides) under uncultured bacterium. Its description in RNAcentral is "partial 16S ribosomal RNA". It matches the Rfam family "Bacterial small subunit ribosomal RNA", at positions 338 to 795 of the family's 1533-position model. The record is from RNAcentral.
CCUACGGGGGGCAGCAGUGAGGAAUAUUGGUCAAUGGGCGCGAGCCUGAACCAGCCAAGUAGCGUGAAGGAUGACUGCCCUACGGGUUGUAAACUUCUUUUAUAAAGGAAUAAAGUGAGGCACGUGUGCCUUUUUGUAUGUAUUUCAUGAAUAAGGAUCGGCUCACUCUGUGUCAGCAGCCGCGGUAAUACGGAGGAUCCGAGAGUUAUCCGGAUUUAUUGGGUUUAAAUGGAGCGUAGAUGGGUUGUUAAGUCAGUUGUGAAAGUUUGCGGGUCAACCGUAGAAUUGCAGUUGAUACUGGCAGCCUUGAGUACAGUAGAGGUAGGCGGAAUUCGUGGUGUAGCGGUGAAAUGCUUAGAUAUCACGAAGAACUCCGAUUGCGAAGGCAGCCUACUAGACUGCCACUGACAUUGAUGCUCGAAAGUGUGGGUAUCAAACAGGAUUAGAUACCCCUGUAGUC